This 75-nucleotide transfer RNA is filed under the name Anabaena minutissima FACHB-250. RNAcentral describes it as "tRNA-Ile". It matches the Rfam family "tRNA". Rfam says of the family: Transfer RNA (tRNA) molecules are approximately 80 nucleotides in length. Their secondary structure includes four short double-helical elements and three loops (D, anti-codon, and T loops). The record is from RNAcentral. Lineage: Bacteria; Bacillati; Cyanobacteriota; Cyanophyceae; Nostocales; Nostocaceae. RNAcentral also lists the same sequence under 1 other name.
UGCAGUGUAGCUUAAUGGCAAAGCCCCAAGCUCAUAACUUGGUUGAUGCGGGUUCAACUCCCACCACUGCGACCA